Molecule: ribosomal RNA, 440 nt
Filed under: uncultured bacterium
Lineage: Bacteria
Description: partial 16S ribosomal RNA
Rfam family: Bacterial small subunit ribosomal RNA
Source: RNAcentral
CCUACGGGAGGCAGCAGUGGGGAAUAUUGCACAAUGGGCGAAACCCUGAUGCAGCGACGCCGCGUGAGUGAAGAAGUAUUUCGGUAUGUAAAGCUCUAUCAGCAGGGAAGAAAAUGACGGUACCUGUUUAAGAAGCCCCGGCUAACUACGUGCCAGCAGCCGCGGUAAUACGUAGGGGGCAAGCGUUAUCCGGAUUUACUGGGUGUAAAGGGAGCGUAGACGGCAGCACAAGUCUGGAGUGAAAUGCCGGGGCUUAACCCCGGAACUGCUUUGGAAACUGUGCAGCUAGAGUGCAGUAGAGGUAAGUGGAAUUCCUAGUGUAGCGGUGAAAUGCGUAGAUAUUAGGAGGAACACCAGUGGCGAAGGCGGCUUACUGGACUGUAACUGACGUUGAGGCUCGAAAGCGUGGGGAGCAAACAGGAUUAGAUACCCGAGUAGUC